UGGCUUAGUGGUAGAGUGCUUGCCUUGCAUGCAUGAGGCCUUGGGUUCGAUUCCUCA
This 57-nucleotide transfer RNA is filed under the name Dipodomys ordii (Ord's kangaroo rat). It matches the Rfam family "tRNA", at positions 8 to 63 of the family's 71-position model. Rfam says of the family: Transfer RNA (tRNA) molecules are approximately 80 nucleotides in length. Their secondary structure includes four short double-helical elements and three loops (D, anti-codon, and T loops). Lineage: Eukaryota; Metazoa; Chordata; Mammalia; Rodentia; Heteromyidae. The record is from Rfam by way of RNAcentral.